Cercophora sp. LCS_1 is the source of this 98-nucleotide non-coding RNA. The record is from the annotation of a GenBank genome assembly. Lineage: Eukaryota; Fungi; Ascomycota; Sordariomycetes; Sordariales; Lasiosphaeriaceae.
GGUCCUGUGGUGUAGUGGUUAUCACAUUUGCUUUACAAGCUGUUCACUUGUAAAUCUUGCAACGCAAAGGGCCGCAGGUUCGAUCCCUGCCAGGAUCA